UUGACCUCGGAUCAGGUAGGAAUACCCGCUGAACUUAAGCAUAUCAAUAAGCGGAGGAAAAGAAACCAACAGGGAUUGCCUCAGUAACGGCGAGUGAAGCGGCAACAGCUCAAAUUUGAAAUCUGGCCUCACGGUCCGAGUUGUAAUUUGUAGAGGAUGUUUUGGGCACCGCCCCGGGUUAAAUUUCUUGGAACAGAAUGUCAAAGAGGGUGAGAGUCCCGUCUUGGCCCGCGGUAGGACCUGUGUAAAACUCCUUCGACGAGUCGACUUGUUUGGGAAUGCAGGUCAAAAUGGGUGGUAAAUUUCAUCUAAAGCUAAAUAUUGGCCAGAGACCGAUAGCGCACAAGUAGAGUGAUCGAAAGAUGAAAAGCACUUUGAAAAGAGAGUUAAACAGUAUGUGAAAUUGUUGAAAGGGAAGCGCUGGCAACCAGACUCGAGCGCGGUGUUCCCCCUUGCUUCUGCCUGGGUUAUUUCACCGUGACCGGGCCAUCAUCAGUUUUGGGGGUUGGUUAAAGAUUCGGGGAAUGUAUCCUCUCCUUCGGGGGAGGACUUAUAGCCCCGGAUGUCAUGCAGCCUCCCGGGACUGAGGAACGCGCUUCGGCGAGGAUGAUGGCGUAAUGGUUGUCAGCGACCCGUCUUGAAACACGGACCAAGGAGUCUAACAUCUAUGCGAGUGUUCGGGUGUCACACCCUUGCGCGGAAUGAAAGUGAACGGAGGUAGGAAGGCUUGAGCCUGCACUAUCGACCGAUCCUGAUGUCUUCGGAUGGAUUUGAGUAAGAGCAUAGCUGUUGGGACCCGAAAGAUGGUGAACUAUGCGUGAAUAGGGUGAAGCCAGAGGAAACUCUGGUGGAGGCUCGCAGCGGUUCUGACGUGCAAAUCGAUCGUCAAAUUUGCGUAUAGGGGCGAAAGACUAAUCGAACCAUUGGUAAAUCACUACUAGGUGGUUAAGAGUCGCGUGUGAAAAGCACCGGCUAGUCGCGAGUCCGCGGCAAGGUCGUCAAAUUGCGGGAACACCCUAAAGCCUGAGGUACCGCCGACUGUCCCGAAAGGGCGUUGAGGCACCACGGAGAGAUUUCGUGGGUAUGGUAACAAUCCAAGGGAUGGCCUAGGUUAAACCCUAGGCCGCUGUAAUGGGCAAUCCGCAGCCAAGCCUGUCCCCCCCCCCCCGUCCGGGGAGGGAUCGGGUGCAGUUCAUCGACUAGAUGUCGACCGGGUUCUGGGCCUCUCACGAAGCCCUGGAGCCUCAAGAUAUAGUCAGGCCCUCGGGGAGACCCGAGCGGAGGAACAAAGUAAAGGGGGCCGGACUCUUCCACAGAAGCCCGCUUUACCCGAGUCCCUCCCGGCCGGUCGUCAUGAGAGACCGGUGGAUCAAAGCUGGUAGCUGGUUCCUGCCGAAGUUUCCCUCAGGAUAGCAGUAACGUUUUCAGUUUUAUGAGGUAAAGCGAAUGAUUAGAGGCCUUGGGGUUGAAACAACCUUAACCUAUUCUCAAACUUUAAAUAUGUAAGAAGUCCUUGUUACUUAGUUGAACGUGGACAUUUGAAUGUAUCGUUACUAGUGGGCCAUUUUUGGUAAGCAGAACUGGCGAUGCGGGAUGAACCGAACGCGAGGUUAAGGUGCCGGAAUGCACGCUCAUCAGACACCACAAAAGGUGUCAAUGCAUCUAGACAGCCGGACGGUGGCCAUGGAAGUCGGAAUCCGCUUAGGAGUGUGUAACAACUCACCGGCCGAAUGCAUUGGCCCUGAAAAUGGAUGGCGCUUAAGCGUGCUACCCAUACCUCGCCGUCAGGGUUGACAUGAUGCCCUGACGAGUAGGCAGGCGUGGAGGUCCGUGACGAAGC
RNAcentral lists this ribosomal RNA (1840 nucleotides) under Chaetothyriales sp. AL3. Its description in RNAcentral is "eukaryotic LSU rRNA". It matches the Rfam family "Eukaryotic large subunit ribosomal RNA", at positions 1 to 1409 of the family's 3401-position model. Lineage: Eukaryota; Fungi; Ascomycota; Eurotiomycetes; Chaetothyriales. The record is from RNAcentral.